GAUGAACGCUGGCGGCGUGCUUAACACAUGCAAGUCGAACGAAGCAUUUAGAACAGAUUACUUCGGUUUGAAGUUCUUUAUGACUGAGUGGCGGACGGGUGAGUAACGCGUGGGUAACCUGCCUUGUACUGGGGGAUAGCAGCUGGAAACGGCUGGUAAUACCGCAUAAGCGCACAAUGUUGCAUGACAUGGUGUGAAAAACUCUGGUGGUAUAAGAUGGACCCGCGUCUGAUUAGCUAGUUGGUGAGAUAACAGCCCACCAAGGCGACGAUCAGUAGCCGAGCUGAGAAGGUGACCGGCCACAUUGGGACUGAGACACGGCCCAGACUCCUACGGGGAGCAGCAGUGGGGAAUAUUGCACAAUGGAGGAAACUCUGAUGCAGCGACGCCGCGUGAGUGAAGAAGUAAUUCGUUAUGUAAAGCUCUAUCAGCAGGGAAGAUAGUGACGGUACCUGACUAAGAAGCGCCGGCUAAAUACGUG
RNAcentral lists this ribosomal RNA (481 nucleotides) under uncultured bacterium. Its description in RNAcentral is "partial 16S ribosomal RNA". It matches the Rfam family "Bacterial small subunit ribosomal RNA", at positions 28 to 507 of the family's 1533-position model. The record is from RNAcentral.